UUAGGUGGAUGGUUGAUGAAGGAAAUCAUUGCUCAUUCCUGCACAGUGAACCAUGACAAACAAGUACAGGCUUUACACUGGUCCUGCAAAACUCACGCGUGUCAUCUUGCUCCAAAAUGAGCUACAUCAACCGCAUGGCUCAGCACCACCUCCUAUCUCAGGUUUCCUGAGAAAAGGAAGGCACUGGAGUGAAGCAGAGGCUCCACUGGAUUGAUUGAACAGUGAACAGAAGUGACAAUCCCAGAGUUUGACUUGUGAUCCUGCCAUGAGUGAUCUUUCAGCAGAGCCGGUCUUGGACAUUCUGAAUGCCCACACAUCUCCCUAUCAGCAUCGCCACCAACUUCUCUUCAAAGCGAAUAGUCCAAGUUUCAUGCUCCUGCCUUGCGGUGAAAUACGACUGCAUCUAGAAGAUCUUGGCUAAAUAUAACAUGGGCCAACUAUGGUAAAUAUAGUGGGCCAUGGACAUAUGUUCACGUAAGCAAAGUACAAUUUGUCAUUUAUAAGCCACCAUGGUGGAGCGCUUUGCACAUCCAUAAGAAGGGAUAACAUUUCCAGUUAGGUGUGUUGACACAUUAUAGAAUAUUGAGAAAUGCAUUUUCAGAGACUCACUUCUGAUAGUACAGCUUUUUCUUUAAAGUAGAGUCUGGCUUUGGAAAAGAUGGCCACUAGAGAAUUGGAGUAAAUAUUUACAAAGACUUUUUUGAGAACUGAGGAUAUCAGAAGCUCUUUGCUCAGAACUUUUAUCCAUCAUUAAAGUAGAUGCCCUGGAGCCUGGCCGUGGCCGGAGCUCUCCUCUGCCCCCAACACACCCGCUGUUUGGAAAGAACCACAGCAGAUCUGAUGUGUCGGCACAUCCCAGAAAAAUAAGACUCUGCAGGUCAGUUCCUCCAGGGCAGAGCAUCCAACAGAAUGACAGCUAUAUCAGUAGCCAGAAAUAGACAUCAGUGAAUCUAAAGCAUUCAAGUUAAAGAGUCUAAAUUGAGAAAUCAAAAUUUUAUGUAUAACUAGAGGCAUGAUAAUUGAUGAUUUGGAACACCAGGAAACAAUGUUUACAUUUCAAACACAGAGAGCUUGAUUUUCCUGGCAUGAACACGAAAAAGACAAAAAGGAUAUGCACAGUUACACAGGCGGAAACAUGUUUCCACGAUGAACAUUUCACUAAAAAUGACAGAGAGCUUCUGGGAAAACCUGGAGUUCAAGAGCACUGAGAAGCAGGAAAGGGGUGGACACACAGAGAUGAGGCUAAAGGGGCAGAGCCGCCCUUUAACACCCAGAGAGAAUCACAUUUUAUUGUUUUCCCCUUUGCCUGGUCCCUGCAGCAACUAACAGUAAGGAGAGGAAAGUCUAUCUGCUAUGUCCCCCAAAAAACAAUGCCAUGAUAAUACAAUUCUAUGGGGCUAAACACCAGAAGAAAUGCAGAUAAGGUCAAAGAGGAUAUUAUGGAAAGGAUGUGAUAAAUAUAUUGGGUCAUGAGAGAACACUAGAGAGGAAGAGGUGAAUUGUGAAGCUGGUCAAUGGAAAAGGGGAAAAAACAGCAAAAAGCAUUUGCCAAGGGUUUGUAUAAACAAGAAGCGGAAGUGAAAUGCUCUCCCAAACGCUCAGUGAGAUGUGGGAAUAAACAGAGUUACUGGCCAUCUGAACAGAAAAAGAAGUGGCAGGGAAGGGAUGCUUUGGGAAGAAAUACCAACAGCAAACUGUUUUACCCAGCACUCCCAUGCUCCGGAGCAUAUUGACCUCAUUUGGUGUGCAGGUGGCCUCAUCUGAGAAGCAAAGAAGUGUCAGGAGGAAAACAGAGUCCUACAACAGGGCUUCCCCAGGAUGCUGGAAGCUGGAGGGGUCAUUAACAUGCGCAGCAGGUGGUAGCUGAGCCUCCUGAGUUAAUAGGAUCCCCAGGUAAAAUAGCAGAAGGCCAAAUGAGAAAGGCAAAAGAUGGGACAGGCGCUAAAAGAAAUGCUAAAGUCACAAAAAUAAGAAUCGGAUUAUACAGUGGAUUAGAAAGAGGAAGUAUUAAAUUUUAGUAGAAAGAGAAAGAAAAAAAACCUGAAAAAUAAAAUAGGAAAUGGAGAAGGAGCUCAACACAGAACACAAUACUCAACUCAGUUCACAAAACUUCUGCAAACUGGAGACAAUUCAAUUAUGUUGCUCCACAACUACCAAAGAUGUUAGUAAGUGUUAACCAGACCUACCACUUCGGACCUCCAGAACUUUCAUUGUGUUUCCACCCCUGAGCUGCUAGGACAGGAUCAACGUAGUCACAAGAGGAGCAAAAACACAUUUCAAGCUUCAGGUGGUUCUGAAAGGCAGUAAAACAUCUUUGCCUUCUACCAUUCUACCAGGUCAGUGCUCUGUGAUCAUCAGCAAGUUCGAUCUACUCAUCGCUAUCAUUUGGGUGUUUAAAUAUCUGAAGCCACUGAGAUGAAUUUUCCACAAGAGCAUAGCCACUGCAGUAGAGUUAGUUUCCUUGGCUUUCAGUUUAAAUUCUUUUCAUUUACAUCCUUGUCUUCUUUUUUCCCAGUCUCACCUUGCUGGCAAUGAGGGUAUUCCUGGACAUGUCCCUGUCUUCCUUCCACCUUCUUAACUUCUUGAAAAGACACAUUGCCAGUUACCAUAAGUGUGUGUCUAACCAUGUCUGAGCCAAAGGGCACGUAUCUGGGCUUUUAAUCCUUAUUCAGAAAGCUGCUUUUUGAAAUUAUAAAAAUAUCUUUCUCCUUAUUUUGUGACUUUCCAGCAUAUGCAUAUAUUCUCUGCCUUCCUACUUUCUCAAAAUGAAUAGUUUGAAAAAGUGUCAUCCAUCAGCCAGAAGCAGGUUGAAGGAAGAAGCAUUUUUCCCUCUACCCUGCCCACUCCAAUAUUUUAAAAGUCUAUUAUUCUCCAUGUUUGUGGAAAGGCGCCUGCCAUCUUUCAAUCCCCCUUGAAUGCAAUCUUGCAUGGCUUAAGAUUUUGCAAUAGUUUAUGGAGUCAACUGCAUGCUAGAAUUUAGCUUUUGUGGUAUAGCCUCUGUGCGUGUGUGUGUGUGUGUGUGUGUGUGUCCUAAAAGGAAGGUGUUCUUUUCACCUCUUUGCUGCAGCAGAGAAUAAAAGCCCCCACAGUUUACAUUCGCUUUGUCAGCCCGUAAGCAACCAUCUGUUUCAGCUGGGGAGUGCGAUCUGUCAGUUUUGUUUUAGGUUGUGAUGCAGUGGCAGGAGCUCCCUCAUUGUUGUCUUCUUAGAGAACCGCAAAGUAAUUAACCAUUCCGGUACUGGCUACAAAAGAGAUGGCCACUCUCAAUGUUGGGCCAGAUUUUUGCUUUCUCCAGUGCUGGAAGUACUACAAAAAACUGAAUAGCUAUUCAUUGUGUUUCAUUGUUCCCUAAAGAGGCAACAUGCUCUUUGUUAUAAAGGCAACCUUGAUUUUCAACAUACCAUUUCAUUUCAAUGUCCGGGUGCAGCAGACGGACAAUCAAACCAUGUUGGUGAUGAACACCCUGAGAGGCCUUAUUCACGCACACGUGAUCAUAAAAUGUCUUUCCGGGUGAUGGGAGGUGUGAGCUGAGGUUGGGGAGAAAAUAGGGUAGGAGAGUGGAUUUGAUAUGAUUGGGAUGGAUGCUUUCCUGAUUGAGUAAAAGUUCAUGAGGCACAGUCCUAAUAAAUAAAGGACCCGUGGAGAGAGAUAAGAGUCAACAGGUUUUAUACCCCACUGUUUCUCAGAUUGUUCCUCUUUAUCUCUUUUUCUUUCUCUGUGGUCUUGGACAUAAUGUUUUGACUCUUUUCCCAUCCAUACACUGUGCCUAAAUUAAAUUCUGAAUUAGCAGACAUUGAAAAACACCUCUAAAAUGAUACACAGAGUAGGUCUUAACCACUUUUGGAAGUGCUAAACCUAUGAAGAGAAAAUUCAGGAAAAAUGAACAAUUUAUUGUUUUGUCUCUCACAUAAGGAUGUCUGAGACUGUAAUAGAUAUUUAUGAAGUUAAUGGAGCUGAUUAAGCAUAAACUCUAUCUCUAUUUCCAAUGAUCUCUUCUCUCUUUACACAAAAUUAAAAAGUUGGAUGAAACCAACUAUCAGAUGAGAUGAGAAGAUACUUGCAGGGAUGUGGACUAGGUAUUCCACACCCGCACCUGUUCUAGCCAUGUACACAGUAGCAGGAUUGGAGUAAUUAGGUUCUUAUCUUCCCAACAUAUCCUCUAAAAGUCAUUUGGUCAAUUUCCCUGACAGCUUACUAAAUUUCUUGAUUUUUCUAAUUAACAUUUAUUAUGCUUUAAGUAAUAAACUCGCAAGAUAUUUUACUUUGCAAUUAAAGCUACUCCUUAUUCAUUAAUGAGAGUAAUUAAUCCAUGUCCUCUUCUCAAUGUUCCUUUCAUAGUUCCUCAAUGUUUCCAUUCCUCCAUUGAACAUUUACUGGUUUUAUUUUUCCUUAUAGAUGCUUAGUUACCUAUGUUUUGGGUCCAGUCUUUUGAUGGUUUCCUUUUUUAAAAGCUGUGCACGUAAACAGUUUUGAGGUCUAACCAAUACUCUGUGGAACAGGCAUGUACACUUCCACUAUUUUAGAAAUAAGACUCUUUAAAUUAGGAAAGUUACUAUGUUUGAAGUUAAUCAUGUACUCAACUCACUUAUUGCCCUUGUGAUUCUCUAUAUGACUUUAAAACUUUUGGAGGCCUGUAUUUGUGUAAUGAAAAUUUGAAUUAGAAUUAUGUGAAAGUUUCUGGUGCCUUAUCUAAGUUUAAUUUUAAAGAAUCAUUUUGCUUCUUUCAUAAGGAGAGAAUGUUCUGGAUCUGCCCUUGAGUUAUAUCUAGAUCUGUGUAGCCAGGUCAAGUGGGCAUAGUUUUAUGCACAUACUGACUCAACAGGUAUCUUUGUCCGUCCUGCUGCCUGUAUCCAAAAUGAUAGAAUAAUAGAAAUCAGUCUUACCAAGGUACAGUCUUCUAGGAAACACUGAACCCCAGUAAAGACCAAGUUCUUGGAAAAAUUGCAAAGUAUAUUUUAAAUGUAUGUUUCUGAACUGUUCAUUAAAAUUCAGCAUCCUGGAAGGCAGGUUCAAUAUUUUAUUCAACUUUGUAAUUAUUCCAUUUCUUCCCCUUUCUCAACCCCAGUGCUUCUGGUCACUAAGAAGAUUCAAACAGAGUAGAAACCCACAAAAGGUCUAAGAUACUUGACUGUACCCUAUCUUUCCCCAUUUCCCAAUUCUUCUCCAGGAUUCCCAAACAGAAUUCCCCUGCAAAUCUGCUCUUUCCAAGGACUCAGAAUGUUUUCUUCUAUUACAUAAAUAGUCAAAAAAAAAAGUCUUCUAAACUAAUGUAUCCUAUACAUUAAAAUACAUAAUGGAACAAGAAAAAAAAUGUAUAUUCUUAAAGUGGAACAUGUUUUCCAUUGUUUCAUUUACAGCUUCACAGUGUGUAUCUCCAUAAACCAUUACAACUCCAUGAAAAGUCAGUUUUUUUUUUUUUCAACAAAGUGAUCCAUGAAAAUCAUGCUCUCAUUCUUUACAUCAAAAACCUAGGUUCCACAGGAAAGUGUCCACCAUAUAUGUAGUGUUUAAAGGAGAAAAAAAAUAAUGUCUCCUUUCAAGAUAAGAAAUACUUCAACAUAAUUUGGAUUAGUAAAGGAUUAAGUACACAUAUUCUACUAGGCCCAAGAAAUACUAUGAGAUGAAUAUACAGUAUCACCUUUGCUAAGUAUUAAAAUGAACAGGGGAGAGGAGAUUCUAGACUCUUGAAGGAGAACCAUCUUUGUUGAUUUUCCUCCCUUGAUCUUCAAAUAAAUUGAAACUAUUACUAUUUACUAGUCCUGCAAGUGUUAAACCAAGGUCUUAAAAAGAAGGAAGCAUUUUCAACAUUGUUCUCCCUAAGAAAAAGCAUCAACACUGAUAAUGUGUUUUCUGAAAGAAAAUCUUUUGUACUAUCAAUAAACAAGAUGAAAAUUAUCUCAAACCUCUCCCAGUUUAGUUUCUAUAUUAAUAUAUGAAAUGUUGAUUUGUGAUAUGAAAGUAGAGUCCCACAGACUUUGAAGACUUGCACGGUAACAGUCUAGAGAAGAAUUCACCAAACUAUGACCUUCAGGUCAGUUGCCUGCUUUUUUUAAAUAUAAAGUUUUAUUGGAGCAUGGCCAUGCCCUUUGCUUACUUGCUUUUUCUUUUUCUAAUUUGUUCUUUUUAAGUAUACAUUACAUACUUGGAAUAUGUCAUACUCUAAGAUACAAAAUACACUCAGAGUGUAUUUUGACAUAUUAUACAUACACAGAAUAUAACUUUCCAUUCUUGUGGUUGUACGUGAUGUGGAGUUACCCUGGUCAGUAUUGAUAAAUGAAUAUAGGAAAAUUAUGUCUGAUUCAUUCUACUGUCUUUCCCAUUGUUUAUAGCUGUUUUCCAGGUACAAAGGCCUCCCUGGAUCUUCUACCAAAUCAGGUAGUUGUUCCUAGCAGUCACUGGGUUUCCACUAGGUAGUGGAGGGAAGGAAGAUGGGGCAGCUUGGAAUGAGAAUUCUCUGCGUAAAUAUUCGGGGUGGGAAGUGUUGAUCUGCAUGCCCAUUAGAAGGGACAAACUCAUUAGAACAAUUUUCAACAAUUUCAUUUCUAUUUGUAUCUGCCAUAACUAUUUACAUUUAGAUCUCCAUUUUAAAAAAAUAAGGUUUAAAAACAAAAAUGAAAAGAAAUUUACUGACCCAAAUCAUCUGAGACCAAUGAAUGUCUACAUUUAUCUGGUUAAUGUCAUCUCUGGAUAAAUGAGAUUAGGGUACCCUGUUCCAGAUCACAGAUAUUUUCUAUCCAGGAAAACAGUUACUUAGUUCUUCUUCAUCUUCCAGAAGAUUACAAAAAUGUCUGCCCUAGUUGUUUGUUUAUUGUUUAGGCUUUUUUUCCUUGAGUGAGGGUUACUUGUUGGUUCUCUUUUCAAUUGUGCUCAAAUCUGUGGACCUGGCUGUAGCACAAACCCCCAAACAACUGGAACCUGGCAAAAGAAGGAACCUCAAAAGGAAAGUGCCAACUGCAACAUAUGAAAUGAAAACAAGCAGUCACAGAAAAUUAUACCACAACCAUUUUAUCAGGUAGAAAUCAGAAUGGUGGGUUUUUACCUAUUCAGUCGAGAAAACAAACAAACAAACAAAAAACAAUAACAAAAAAAACCCUGAAUUUUGUUACAUGAUAGUAUUUCUGUUUUUUUAGAUUUUUUCAUGAGCUAUAGAUUAUUAAUCUAUAGGGAAAAGGUUUCAUUCAAUUCUAAAUCACUUCAGUGAUUAGAAAAUUACCUUGGUAACUGGCACUUUGAGAUCAUUGGAUAAAGAAGAUAGCAAACAACUCUGGUAUUUACAGAAAUGGUCUUUCUCAUUAAUACAUCAAGCAUUUAUUGGCAAGUGUUUAUGAGGGAAUGUUGGAGGAAUUCAUAACACCACAGUGAAAACAUGUGUGAGUUGUUUCAGCUCAUAGGUUCACAAAAGACGAAUAAUCACCUGUAAAUAGAGUUUUUCAAUCCACUGGAUAAGAACAGUAAGGUAAAUGCAUUGAACCUAAGGAUUAGAUAUCUGGGGAAGGAACUGAUCAGAAUUUACAGAUAUGUGGCAUUGCCACUGCUGAACAUUUCUGUAGAAUCACAUUUUCCAAAUACUUCUGUCUCUUCUCAAAUGCUUCAUGCUCGGCCUUCUGAUUGACAGCUGAUGAAUCAGACCUCCUGCAACCAUAUCCUAAUUUGUCUUAAUCUGUCCAAAGAAACAAGCAGAGGAAGAGGAGUCUGUUUGGAGUGAAACAGUCCAGCAGGGUUUGGAAAUGAUUCGCUCACUGAGCAAUGACUUCUGAAGAGUAACAAGGCUGCGGAACUACUUAAGUGAUCUUUUUAUACAAAUGUAAAAAAAUAAAGACAAUUCUAAGAAUUAUAUUAUUCUGUCUAAUUCAAAGUUUUAGCUAAAACUUAAAUACUUUGUAAGGAGAACAAUGUCUAAAUGGAAAUAUAAGACCAAAAGAGGGGUUUGCUUAGUUAUUAAUAUACCUACCAUGGGAACACUGAUCUGGGAACAUCCUGUGGAAACAUUUUGAAAAUGAUAGAUUCACUCAUAGAAGAUGUUGUUUACAGUCUUUGAAAUUAAAAUCUGAAGUUAAUUGAAUAAACAAGCCUAUUCUUGUCUUAUGGAUUUUUCUGGGAAAUACAUAAAAAUUAGAAGCUUCUCGGUAACCAAAUCAUUUUGAAAUUCCAUAGAGAUGGUUGCUUCAAAGAAUUCCACAACAACAUACAUCACACUUGACCAGAAUUCAGUAGAGAUGGAGCUAACAGAAGGCAGAAACCAGACAAACUGGGUACAAGUUUGAACCCAGCUUUGCAGAUGUAGUAAUUAUGGCUAUAAAAAUAAACUAUGGUUGGGACCAACUUUAAAAAUCAGUGUAAAUGUGUUAACAACUAAAAAUUACAGGCAAAACUCAACAGCUCUGGUAUGUUCCAUCAUACCUCAUAUAGCAGAAAGUAAAAUAAUAGAAAUAAAGAUUUCUCUGAUAAAAAAAGAAAAAGAAAGAGAGAGAGAGAGAGAAAUCUUGCUUACUUGGACCAAUCAAUCAUAAGUCCUUUUUCUAUUACAGUAGACUUAAUAAAGCUUUCUCAGUAGGUUGGGGGAUUUAUAUUGGUGAUGAUAAGAGUAUAAACAGAAUGUUAAUAUCAGAACGAAUUAAUAAUAAGUGGAAAUCAGUGUAAGAAUAUGGAACGAACAUACAGUUCUUAAGCUAUUUUUCA
This is a long non-coding RNA of Sciurus carolinensis (gray squirrel), 8679 nucleotides long. RefSeq lists it as uncharacterized. The transcript has 3 exons. NCBI's taxonomy places the organism in Eukaryota, Metazoa, Chordata, Mammalia, Rodentia, Sciuridae. The record is from RefSeq and is a predicted model, not a curated record.